AUUGAACGCUGGCGGCAGGCCUAACACAUGCAAGUCGAGCGGCAGCGGGAGAAAGCUUGCUUUCUUGCCGGCGAGCGGCGGACGGGUGGGUAAGGGAUGGGGAUCUGGCCGAAGGCGGGGGAUAACCAAUGGAAACGGUCGCUAAUACCGCAUAAUCUCUGAGGAGCAAAGGGGGGGACCAUCUGGCCCCACACCCUCGGAUUAAGCCAUAUGGGAUUAGCUAGUAGGUGGGGUAAACGCUCACCUAGGCGACGAUCUUUAGCUGGUCUGAGAGGAUGAUCAGCCACACUGGGACUGAGACACGGCCCAGACUCCUACGGGAGGCAGCAGUGGGGAAUAUUGCACAAUGGGCGCAAGCCUGAUGCAGCCAUGCCGCGUGUAUGAAGAAGGCCUUCGGGUUGUAAAGUACUUUCAGUCGUGAGGAAGGUGUUAAGGUUAAUAGUCUUAGCAAUUGACGUUAGCGACAGAAGAAGCACCGGCUAACUCCGUGCCAGCCGCCGCCGUAA
RNAcentral lists this ribosomal RNA (506 nucleotides) under uncultured bacterium. Its description in RNAcentral is "partial 16S ribosomal RNA". It matches the Rfam family "Bacterial small subunit ribosomal RNA", at positions 30 to 523 of the family's 1533-position model. The record is from RNAcentral.